RNAcentral lists this ribosomal RNA (532 nucleotides) under uncultured bacterium. RNAcentral's name for it is "partial 16S ribosomal RNA". It matches the Rfam family "Bacterial small subunit ribosomal RNA", at positions 356 to 905 of the family's 1533-position model. The record is from RNAcentral.
UGGGAAUCUUGCGCAAUGGGCGAAAGCCUGACGCAGCCAUGCCGCGUGAGUGAUGAAGGCCUUAGGGUUGUAAAACUCUUUCACCGGGGACGAUAAUGACGGUACCCGGAGAAGAAGCCCCGGCUAACUUCGUGCCAGCAGCCGCGGUAAUACGAAGGGGGCUAGCGUUGCUCGGAAUUACUGGGCGUAAAGGGCGCGUAGGCGGAUCAGCAAGUUGGGGGUGAAAGCCCGGGGCUCAACCUCGGAAUUGCCUUCAAAACUGCUGAUCUAGAGUACGGGAGAGGUGUGUGGAACUCCGAGUGUAGAGGUGAAAUUCGUAGAUAUUCGGAAGAACACCAGUGGCGAAGGCGACACACUGGCCCGUUACUGACGCUGAGGCGCGAAAGCGUGGGGAGCAAACAGGAUUGGAUACCCUGGUAGUCCACGCUGUAAACGAUGAUUGCUAGUUGUCGGCAGGCAUGCCUGUCGGUGACGCAGCUAACGCAUUAAGCAAUCCGCCUGGGGAGUACGGUCGCAAGAUUAAAAACUCAAA